RNAcentral lists this ribosomal RNA (516 nucleotides) under Nephila pilipes (giant wood spider). RNAcentral describes it as "bacterial SSU rRNA". It matches the Rfam family "Eukaryotic small subunit ribosomal RNA", at positions 1288 to 1830 of the family's 1831-position model. The record is from RNAcentral. Lineage: Eukaryota; Metazoa; Arthropoda; Arachnida; Araneae; Nephilidae.
CCGUUUUUAGUUCGUGGGCAUGACCUGUCUGGUUUAUUCCGAUAACGAGCGAGACUUGCCAGCUAAAUAGCUGUUCCGUGAUGUUUCACGGAAAGAAUCUUCGAGGAACAAGCCAUUUCGAGCCGCACGAAAAAGAGCAAAAACAGGUCAGUGAUGCCCUUAGAUGUCCGGGGCCGCAAGCGCAAUACAAUGAAGGCGACAGCGUGUGCUUUUUUCCCUUGUCGAGAGGUCCGGCCAACCCGAUGAAAUGCCUUCGUGCUGGGGAUAGGGACUGUAACUGGCCCCUUGAACGAGGAAUCUCCAGUAGGCUCGAGUCAUUAACUCGUGCCGACAGUACCAACACUUUGUACACGCUGCCCGUCGUUAAUACCGAUUGAAUGGUUCUGUGAGGUUUGCGGACCUGCGCUUCCGUUCCUUAAUGGACACGAGGUGUCAGAAAGAUGAUCGAACUCUAUCACUUAGAGGAAUUACAAGUUGUAAUAAGGUUUCCGUAGGUGAACCUGCGGAAGGAUCAUU